RNAcentral lists this long non-coding RNA (256 nucleotides) under Elaeis guineensis (African oil palm). RNAcentral describes it as "long non-coding RNA (EGUI_LNC046761)". Lineage: Eukaryota; Viridiplantae; Streptophyta; Magnoliopsida; Arecales; Arecaceae. The record is from RNAcentral.
GCCCUGAGUGUAUUGUUGAACCAUCUCAUUGGAAGCAUCAUCUGACAACUGAAAGUCUACAUAAUAAUCCGACAGCCAUUUCAUCCUAAGUUUACUCCCCUCAAAAUCUUUAGUUGGAGGUGCAACCUCUAAUAAUCACUUGCAAAGUGAUUACCACUGCGGUAUAAAAAAUGCAAGAUCAUGAUCAAUAACUGGCAAAUCAUCGAUGCAUAAACCAGUCAAGAUGCUGACAUCCUAUAAUGUAAUGGUAGUCUCC